This 269-nucleotide ribosomal RNA is filed under the name uncultured bacterium. RNAcentral's name for it is "partial 16S ribosomal RNA". It matches the Rfam family "Bacterial small subunit ribosomal RNA", at positions 524 to 787 of the family's 1533-position model. The record is from RNAcentral.
UACGUAGGGUGCGAGCGUUAAUCGGAAUUAUUGGGCGUAAAGCGUGCGCAGGCGGUUUUAUAAGACAGAUGUGAAAAUCCCCGGGCGUUAACCUGGGAACGUGCGUUUGUGACUGUAAGACUCGAGUGUGGCAGAGGGGGGUGGGAAUUCCACGUGUAGCAGUGAAAUGCGUAGAGAUGUGGAGGAACACCAAUGGCGAAGGCAGCCCCCUCGGGUCGAUACUGACGCUCAUGCACGAAAGCGUGGGUAGCAAACAGGAUUAGAAACCC